UACGAAGGGGGCUAGCGUUGCUCGGAAUCACUGGGCGUAAAGCGCACGUAGGCGGCUUUUUAAGUCAGGGGUGAAAUCCUGGAGCUCAACUCCAGAACUGCCUUUGAUACUGAGAAGCUUGAGUUCGGGAGAGGUGAGUGGAACUGCGAGUGUAGAGGUGAAAUUCGUAGAUAUUCGCAAGAACACCAGUGGCGAAGGCGGCUCACUGGCCCGAUACUGAUGCUGAGGUGCGAAAGCGUGGGGAGCAAACAGG
This 253-nucleotide ribosomal RNA is filed under the name uncultured bacterium. RNAcentral's name for it is "partial 16S ribosomal RNA". It matches the Rfam family "Bacterial small subunit ribosomal RNA", at positions 524 to 776 of the family's 1533-position model. The record is from RNAcentral.